Molecule: unclassified non-coding RNA, 412 nt
Filed under: Hevea brasiliensis (rubber tree)
Lineage: Eukaryota; Viridiplantae; Streptophyta; Magnoliopsida; Malpighiales; Euphorbiaceae
Source: RNAcentral
AUUUGAGACGAUUAUUUGAUUCGUUUUUUCGGAAUCUCGCCGGUGAUUUAUUUGACGCCGGAGAUCUCGAGUUCACCGGCGAUCAAUUUAUUGUUUGAUCGGUGACGGAUUUUUUUAUUUUAUUUCUGGUGGUAAUAGGAUGGUGAAUUUUUUGGUGGAACGAGCGACGAGCGAUAUGCUCAUGGGACCUGAUUGGGCAAUGAAUGUCGAGAUCUGCGAUAUAUGCAGUCGUGAUCCAGCGCAAGCGAAAGAUGUUGUGAAAGGAAUAAAAAAGCGUCUUGGCAGUAGGAGAUCAAAAGUCCAGCUACUCGCCUUGACACUUUUGGAAGCAAUUGUGAAGAAUUGUGGAGACAUUGUGCAUAUGCACGUCGCUGAGAAAGGUCUUCUUCAUCAGAUGGUGAAAAUGGUAAAG